RNAcentral lists this microRNA precursor (400 nucleotides) under Gossypium raimondii (Peruvian cotton). Its description in RNAcentral is "miR8735 stem-loop (gra-MIR8735)". The record is from miRBase by way of RNAcentral. Lineage: Eukaryota; Viridiplantae; Streptophyta; Magnoliopsida; Malvales; Malvaceae.
GACUAGAUUCCCAACAACCAAAGGUAUUGUUCUCAUGUCAGGGGUUUGUCCCUAGCCUCCGUAGAGAGUCGUGCACAGUUCAUGGAGGGGACACCUCAGUUGGUGGUACAUGCAAUACUUGGGAGAGGUGUUAGCAUAGAGCGUGUGAAUAAUUAUUCAACAACCUAAAGUGGUACCAUGGUUGUAGGUAAGGGUCUUAUAAGCCUCAGGUUGGUUGUUUGAGUCACCCCGCUAUUAGGUUGCUCAAUAAUUAUUCACACCAUAUACUAACACCUCUCUUGAGUCUUGUAGGUACCACCAAUUGAGGCACUCCCUCUAUGAAUCGUACAUUGUUCUCCGCAGAGGCUAGGGACGAAACCCAAACAUGGGGACAAUACCUUCGAUUGUUGGAGGGUCCAGU